UGCUGAAAACACCAGUUCUCAUUCAAUCACCAAAGUUAAGCAGCAUUGAGCCUGGUCAGUAGUUAGAUGAGGGACUACUUGAGGACACCAGUUAGU
Non-coding RNA from Acanthosepion pharaonis, 96 nucleotides. The record is from the annotation of a GenBank genome assembly. Lineage: Eukaryota; Metazoa; Mollusca; Cephalopoda; Sepiida; Sepiidae.